AAUCAACGCUGGCGGCGUGCCUCAGACAUGCAAGUCGAACGAUUAAACUUUCCUUCGGGAAAGAUAUAAAGUGGCGUACGGGUGAGUAACACGUAAGUAAUCUACCUUCGAGUGGGGAAUAACGUUCGGAAACGAACGCUAAUACCGCAUAAUGCAGCGGCAUCAAUGAUGACAGUUGUUAAAGAAUUUAUUCGCUUGAAGAGGAGCUUGCGGCAGAUUAGCUAGUUGGAAGGUAAUGGCUUACCAAGGCUACGAUCUGUAUCCGGUCUAAGAGGAUGAUCAGCCACACUGGAACUGAGACACGGUCCAGACUCCUACGGGAGGCAGCAGUGGGGAAUUUUGCACAAUGGGCGAAAGCCUGAUGCAGCAACGCCGCGUGUGUGAUGAAGGUCUUCGGAUCGUAAAGCACUUUCGACCGGGAAGAAAACCUACUGGUAAUUCUCAGGGGCCGUGACGGUACCGGGAGAAGAAGCACCGGCUAACUCUGUGCCAGCCGCCGCC
RNAcentral lists this ribosomal RNA (501 nucleotides) under uncultured bacterium. RNAcentral describes it as "bacterial SSU rRNA". It matches the Rfam family "Bacterial small subunit ribosomal RNA", at positions 32 to 519 of the family's 1533-position model. The record is from RNAcentral.